CUUCCAAAUUAUUUUCAGGAUUACCCGCUUUAUAAAUCAAGACACCAGACCAGCUCGGCGGCAGAGAGACAAGCUUGCUGCAAUCAGGUGAAUUGUCUUCCAUAGUGAUAAGAUGACAGGGAAACUACACCUCCUCCUGGUCUUGCUGGGCCUCUGUAGUGUAUGGUCAGAGUCUGGAGUCCAUUCCCUCCAGUCCAGUCCUGAAAAAGCCUUCAGAACCUCUCAGCCUCUCAGCCUCUCCUGUAAGGGAUCUUUAGUAGCUACAACAUGGCCUGGUUAUGUCAACCUGCAGGAAGAGCACUUGAACGGACAGGCAUUAUAUGGAGUGAUGCUAGUGGAACUGCAUAUGCAAAAAUUGUUGAAGGACGGGUAGAAGUCACCAGAGAGAAUUUUAACAGCAUCUGAAGCUGUCUGGUCUGAGAGAAGAGGACUCUGCUGUGUAUUACUGUGCAAGAGACACAGUGGUGUGAGUGGAGGAUCUGCACAAAAAUCCCUCAGAGAUUCUAACUGGCAGCAGAGUCAACAGAGGGCAUGGGAGCAUCAGUACAACAGAGUCAACAGAGGGCAGUAGAGCAUCAGUACAACAGAGUCAACAGAGAGCAGUAGAGCAUCAGUACAACAGAGUCAACAGAGGGCAGUAGAGCAUCAGUACAACAGAGUCAACAGAGGGCAGUAGAGCAUCAGUACAACAGAGUCAACAGAGGGCAGUAGAGCAUCAGUACAACAGAGUCAACAGAGGGCAGUAGAGCAUCAGUACAACAGAGUCAACAGAGGGCAGUAGAGCAUCAGUACAACAGAGUCAACAGAGUGCAGUAGAGCAUCAGUACAACAGAGUCAACAGAGGGCAGUAGAGCAUCAGUACAACAGAGUCAACAGAGGGCAGUAGAGUAUCAGUACAGCAGACUACAAAUUGCACACAUUCCACUGAGAACCAAAUCAACCAGUAAACCUUCAACUGAACUGCUGUUAUCAUGAGCAUUGUCCUAUAGGCAAGAGUAGAUAGUUAGAAACAUUGAUGAAAGUGUCACUCCACAAUACAUACUGGUACAUUAAUUGACAAUACAAAAUACAGAACCACAUUGUGGACCACUCAGAGUUCUGAGACACUGUAGGCAAUCAUAUGCAAACAUAGUUCAGCAUGUAAUUUGGUAUUAGCUAUAAUACGUUAUAGAAUGGGUUGUUCGGAUCCUGGAUGCUGAUUGGACAAGCAGCAUUCCAGGCCGUGCUGUAUUGGCCGUAACAGACAUGCCAAUGCCUGCUGACAGUUCCAUCUGAAAAUGAUCACUGCACCUCCAUAAGAAUGUUAUGCUGUCUGAAUCAUCUCUUGUAUUUAUCUCAACUCACACUUUAUUUCCCCUUGCUUCAAGCCUUGCAUUUAGUUUGGAAAGAUUUGGAAGAUUUGUUUCACUUUUGAAAUUUAAAUUCCCUGGUAGAGAGAAAGGUCACGUCCCCCUUUCAGACGUUGCACGCAUCAAACAAUGGUUGCGUGCCACAUCAUCGACUAUGUCAUCGACUGACAGAUUUCCAUAGAGAUCAGGAUGGGGGCGGCAGGGUAGCCUAGUGGUUAGAGCGUUGGACUAGCAACCAAAAGGUUGCAAGCUCAAAUCCCCAAGCUGACAAGGUACAAAUCUGUCGUUCUGCCCCUGAACAGACAGUUAACCCACUGUUCCUAGGCAGUCAUUGAAAAUAAGAAUUUGUUCUUAACUGACUUGCCUAGUUAAAUAAAGGUAAAAAAAAGACUCAUUCCUAAUUCUAUGCAGAUUGCUGUAACAUACAAUGUGGUUAUCUGAUAGGUAAAAUACCUAUCCAGGCGUUGUAAGAGUUGACAAGCGUAAGCAAUUUUUAUUUGAUUUAUUUCACCUUUAUUUAACCAGGUAGACUAGUUGAGAACAAGUUCUCAUUUGCAACUGCGACCUGGCCAAGUUAAAGCAUAGCAAUUUGACACAUUCAACAACACAGAGUUACACAUGGAAUAAACAAAACAUAGUCAAUAAUACAGUAGAACAAAAGAAAACAAAAAGUCUAUAUACAGUGAGUGCAAAUGAGGUAAGAAUUGAGUUAACAGAGUCCUUAGCAAUUGAUUUUUUAACACGGAUGAGUAUACCAUUAGAUGUUUUUGUUGAUAAGGGUAAAAUAUUAGGAUUGCUAAAAAUUGUUCUAUGGCUGUUUUUCAAAACAUUCUAUACAGUCCCAUCCCAUAAGUGAAGCAUCAACAUUCAAUAUGGUUCACAAAGGGUUUUCUGACAUUCUCAUCCCUGUCAUACUGUACCUGCCUUCUUAUGCAAAUUACACAUAGCUUUCUAAUGUUUUAACUCUUUCAUCUCACUCCCUCUGCCUUUUAUAAAACAGUCUCUCUGUGUGAAUCAUAUAUCUCUCGGGAUCAAGCGGGAUCAAAACGACAACAUCCGGUGAAAUUGGAGGGUGCUCAAUUAAAAUACAUAAUUGUAAUAUUAAACAUUAAUGAAAAUACAAGUGACUUACAUUCUUGUUAAUAUUCUUGUUAAUCUAACUGAUUUGACAGAUUUACAAAAGGCUUUACGGCAAAAGCAUACCAUGCGAUUGUCUGAGGACAGCGCCCCACAUCAACAUAUUUUUAAACCAAACAGGCUUCACAAAAUCACAAAUAGCGAUAAAAUAUUUCACUCACUUUAGAAAAUCUUCCUCUGUUUGCAAUCCCAAGGGUCCCAGCUACACAAUGAACGGUCGUUUUGUUUGAUAAAGUCCUUCUUUAUAUCCCAAAAAGUCAGUUUAGUUGGCGCCAUUGAUUUCAGUAAUCAACUCGUUCAACAUGCAGACAAAGGAAUCCAAAAAGCUACCAGUAAACUUCGUCUAAACAAGUCAAAUGACGUUUCUAAUUAAUCCUCAGGUACCCUAAUAUGUAAAUAAACGAGAAUAUUUCAUACGAAAAGUAGUAUGUUCAAUAGGAAAGGAAAAUAAUGAAGAGAAAGACUACUUUUGUUAUGGAGCUCCCCUUGGAACAACUCCAAUGACUUCAUUUCAUUUCAUUCAUUUUUCAAGAAACAAGCCUGAAACCUUGUAUAAAGACUGUUGACAUCUAGUGGAAACCAUAGGCACUGCAAUAUGGGAGAUAUAUUUUUUUUAAUAAUCCGAUUGGUUUGCAUUGAAAGAGCCUGUGCCCUAAAAAAAUUUAAAAAAAUUCUGGUUGGUUUUUCUUCAGGUUUUCAUCUGCUAUAUCAUUUCUGUUAUAGUCUCAGACAUUAUUUGAACCCCAAUGGGUGCAAGUGUGACAGUAUGCAUGUGAACAGCCUUUGCCAAUGUAUUUCUUACACUUACACAUCUCUAUGGAAAAAUGGCGGACGGAAGACAGGGUGGUGCGGCAGGUGCCGCUUCUCAUUCGAAUGCUGUAAUUUUAUCUAAACCAUCAGGUGUACGCCGACCCCAGCUAAGUAACUCAUGCAAAGAGUUAAAGCGCAAUUAUGUGUUUUAUCUCCAGUACUCUGCCAUGAUUGUCAGUUAUGUAGCUGCUCUACUGAUAAUCUCAGUGCGUCCUUGCUGGGAUGACACAAUCAGUCUACUACCGGAGAAUAUCAACACCAAACACAUUGGUUCACCGUUCCACGGGAGCGGACAGUACACAGCAUACCAUAAUGUUCUGAAUAAUGGCCAAGUCUACCUCGCUCCUUAUUCUACUGAACCGCUUAGGCGUAACAAACACAAGUCCAACAUUUAUCGGAAACUGUUAAACUACCUGUUCACUACCCUCCUGCUCUCCGGGGAUGUACAACUCAAUCCUGGGCCCAAUAUCACCGAGCCAGUGAUACGCACCGGAGUGGAGAGCGGUGGAAGGCCUCGUCCACUGGUCGUCGCCGCUGUGGAGGUGGGUGAGUGCUAUGGUCCUAUGGUUUCUCUCGACUCACCCGGCUCCAGGAUAGAUUUUGACUCUUCAAACAUACCAGAGUCGCUAUAUGCGAUCCCUGACUCUGCUUCUGGUACGCAAGCUAUUUUAAUUAGUUCCCCGCAUCCAGUGCAGGCGGGAGGGAUUGUUAAUUGCGCUACCGAACUGCCCCUAAUCAAAAUGAAACAAAACGGCCUAAACCCAGCCGUCAGAAAACACAGAAAAUUUAACUUUUUUCAAUGUGUCAAUCACUCUCGAGUCAUCUGGGACCCACGAGCUAAGCCCAAGGGACUACUAGGGGGGCACUUGAACAUUCGUAGUGUCAUUCCAAAAAGUGAUCAAAUUCAACAUCUACUCACAGACUCUAACCUUGACUUUCUCUGCCUCUCAGAGACAUGGCUCCAUAAACACUCUCCAUAUGCUGCUUUGAUUGUGCCUGGCUACAAUGUUUUCAGGAGAGACAGGAUUGAAGGAAGAGGAGGGGGUGUGAUGAUUUACAUUAAAGAACAUAUCCGAUGUAAACAAA
Molecule: long non-coding RNA, 4382 nt
Organism: Oncorhynchus nerka (sockeye salmon)
Lineage: Eukaryota; Metazoa; Chordata; Actinopteri; Salmoniformes; Salmonidae
Exons: 3
Source: RefSeq, a predicted model, not a curated record